Molecule: ribosomal RNA, 292 nt
Filed under: uncultured bacterium
Lineage: Bacteria
Description: partial 16S ribosomal RNA
Source: RNAcentral
GGACUACUCGGGUAUCUAAUCCUGUUUGCUCCCCACGCUUUCGUGCCUCAGUGUCAGUAUCUGUCCAGGAAGUCGCCUUCGCCACUGAUGUUCCUUCCGAUAUCUACGCAUUUCACUGCUACACCGGAAAUUCCACUUCCCUCUACAGUACUCUAGCUUUGCAGUAUCAGACGCAGUCCCCAGGUUAAGCCCAGGAAUUUCACAUCUAACUUACAUAACCACCUACGCACCCUUUACGCCCAGUAAUUCCGAUUAACGCUCGCACCCUCUGUAUUACCGCGGCUGCUGGCAC